RNAcentral lists this ribosomal RNA (753 nucleotides) under uncultured fungus. RNAcentral's name for it is "eukaryotic LSU rRNA". It matches the Rfam family "Eukaryotic large subunit ribosomal RNA", at positions 40 to 647 of the family's 3401-position model. Lineage: Eukaryota; Fungi. The record is from RNAcentral.
AUAUCAAUAAGCGGAGGAAAAGAAACUAACAAGGAUUCCCCUAGUAACGGCGAGUGAAGCGGGAUGAGCUCAAAUUUGAAAUCUGGCUGGUUUACUAGUCCGAGUUGUAAUUUAAAGAAGCGUUUUCGGUGGCAGCCUGGGUAUAAAUCCUUUGGAAUAGGGUAUCAUAGAGGGUGAGAAUCCCGUCUUUGACCUAGUGCAUGCUACUAUGUGAUACGUUUUCAAAGAGUCGAGUUGUUUGGGAAUGCAGCUCAAAAUGGGUGGUAAAUUUCAUCUAAAGCUAAAUAUUGGCGAGAGACCGAUAGCGAACAAGUACCGUGAGGGAAAGAUGAAAAGAACUUUGAAAAGAGAGUUAAACAGUGCGUGAAAUUGUUGAAAGGGAAACGUUUGACACCAGUCAUGUGGGUGGAAAAUCAGUCUUUUGCAUUGGGGAGUUGUAAAGGUUCGGACCGCAAGGCCGGCUUUUGCUUCAUCUUUGGUGUAAGGGAUGCACUUUUUCAUCUACAGGUCAACAUCAGUUUCUUUUGCUGGACAAAACUCCGAGAGAAGGUAGCAGCUUAGGCUGUGUUAUAGCUCUGGAGCGAUACAGUGAAGGGGACUGAGGUUUUCGCAGCGUGUGCUCUCGGGCAAGGCUGGAUGGGUGCUAUGGGAUCGUUCGGGGUACAAUGCCUGGCAUUUUGCUUCGUGUCUUUUCUAUACUCGCUCAACUCAGCUCUUCCACGCUUAGGAUGUUGACUUAAUGGUUUUAAACGA